GUGCUGUGGAAGCCGCCUUAUUGAAUAAACAUGGUGGUGUCGCUCUCCUUGGAGCAUGUGCACCUCAUCGUCUUUAUCCAUCCACCUGUGCACCUUUUGUAGUCUUGGGAAAUGAAUGCAAUGGAACCGUAGGUUUUUCAGCCUUUGGAAAUUUUCGUGAAGCAUGGCUCUUCUCAAUAGCCUUGCAAUCGUUACUCAGACUAUGUUUUUCAUACACCAUGUAGUAUGUUUGCAGAAUGUAUCAAUGGGCUCUGUGCCUAUAACAAUACAACUUUCAGCAACGGAUCUCUUGGCUCUCGCAUCGAUAGAAUGCGAUAAGUAAUGUGAAUUGCAGAAUUCAGUGAAUCAUCGAAUCUUUGAACGCACCUUGCCUCCUUGGUAGUGGAGACCAUGCCUGUUUGAGUUCAUAAUGUAAUAUACCACAAAGAGCGGAACCGUUUGCGGUAACCAGUCGCCAGUGAUAAUUAUCUACGCCAAUAGACAUGAACUGCUCUCUGUUGUUCUGCUUCAAAUUGUCUGGCUAGACACUUUUGAAUGUUUGACCUCAAAUCAGGUAGGAGC
This 561-nucleotide ribosomal RNA is filed under the name Lepiota sp. BDU 01. RNAcentral describes it as "eukaryotic LSU rRNA". The stretch from base 270 to 408 matches the Rfam family "5.8S ribosomal RNA". The record is from RNAcentral. Lineage: Eukaryota; Fungi; Basidiomycota; Agaricomycetes; Agaricales; Agaricaceae.